This 718-nucleotide long non-coding RNA is filed under the name Gadus morhua (Atlantic cod). RNAcentral's name for it is "lncRNA (ENSGMOG00000029840.1)". Lineage: Eukaryota; Metazoa; Chordata; Actinopteri; Gadiformes; Gadidae. The record is from RNAcentral.
GCAUAGCAUGCACGGAGCACCCGUAGAGCGGACAUCCUCAUAUCAUUUUGCCUAGGAAAACUUUAUAAAUAUAUAUAUAAAAAAUAAAAGAAUUGGCGCGUGGCUGAGUUUGACGGGAAAUGGGGAAGUAAACUGAAGGAGCUCAAACAGCGGGUUCCACACCACAGUAUGUUGCAGCUGUCAGAGUGGAGAGACAGCCUGACGGGAGAAAGAUGGAUGUUGCUGCUAACCGUUUGCUGGCACGGAAUCGUUGGAGGUCUUCAACACGUGUGUGUUCGAAGGGGACGAAGACAACUCGGAAAAUGUAUGAGAUUCGACGAGCACUGCCUGUUUUAAAAAAACGAAAGUAUGAUGAGAGAUGUGUUUCAACAUCAAGGUUUCCUCACAGACCUCAAGCUAAAAGCUAGGUUGUGCCCUUUUAAUGAAUUUGGGGAUUCAAUGAUUUGCGACCAGAUAGUUUUUGGAACCAACUACAAGAAAAUGAAGCAAAAGCUGUUACGGUGCGUGGCACUCACGUUGGGUAAUACAGGGGGAUGUGCCAGGCUGGUGAGCUGGCAAAGCAGCAUGAGGCUUCCGAGACACCACACAUGGAGCAGCCUGUCACGUGGCGAGGCUGUGGACGCCAUUUCAGUAAAAGAAAAGCACCCAGUUCAGAUACAAGGACAGCUAGAACCUUCACGGUACAAUCUCUGAAGAUGGACAAGUGUUUAGGAGGAAC